This 197-nucleotide ribosomal RNA is filed under the name uncultured bacterium. Its description in RNAcentral is "partial 16S ribosomal RNA". It matches the Rfam family "Bacterial small subunit ribosomal RNA", at positions 335 to 524 of the family's 1533-position model. The record is from RNAcentral.
ACUCCUACGGGAGGCAGCAGUAGGGAAUCUUCCACAAUGGACGAAAGUCUGAUGGAGCAACGCCGCGUGAGUGAUGAAGGGUUUCGGCUCGUAAAACUCUGUUGUUGGAGAAGAACAGGUGAUAGAGUAACUGUUAUCAUCUUGACGGUAUCCAACCAGAAAGCCACGGCUAACUACGUGCCAGCAGCCGCGGUAAU